Molecule: ribosomal RNA, 497 nt
Filed under: uncultured bacterium
Lineage: Bacteria
Description: partial 16S ribosomal RNA
Rfam family: Bacterial small subunit ribosomal RNA
Source: RNAcentral
GGAUGAACGCUGGCGGCGUGCCUAAUACAUGCAAGUCGAGCGAACAGACGAGGAGCUUGCUCCUCUGACGUUAGCGGCGGACGGGUGAGUAACACGUGGAUAACCUACCUAUAAGACUGGGAUAACUUCGGGAAACCGGAGCUAAUACCGGAUAAUAUAUUGAACCGCAUGGUUCAAUAGUGAAAGACGGUUUUGCUGUCACUUAUAGAUGGAUCCGCGCCGCAUUAGCUAGUUGGUAAGGUAACGGCUUACCAAGGCAACGAUGCGUAGCCGACCUGAGAGGGUGAUCGGCCACACUGGAACUGAGUCACGGUCCAGACUCCUACGGGAGGCAGCAGUAGGGAAUCUUCCGCAAUGGGCGAAAGCUUGACGGAGCAACGCCGCGUGAGUGAUGAAGGUCUUCGGAUCGUAAAACUCUGUUAUUAGGGAAGAACAAAUGUGUAAGUAACUAUGCACGUCUUGACGGUACCUAAUCAGAAAGCCACGGCUAACUACGU